AUUGAACGCUGGCGGCAGGCCUAACACAUGCAAGUCGAACGGAAGAACGGUGCUUGCUCGUGGUUUCGGCGGGGGACGGGUGAGUGAUGCCUGUGAAUCUCCCUAUCUAUUGUUUAUAACGUCCUGACGCAGGCGCAAAUACCGCAUACGUGCUGAUGACGCACGUGGGGGAUCUUCGGACCUCACGCCCUCAGGUGAUCCGAGGUGGGAGUAGCUAGUUGGUGGGGUGAAGGGCUACCAAGGCGACGAUCCGUAACUGGUCUGAUAGGAUGAUCAGUCACACUGGAAGUGAGACACGGUCCAGACUCCUACGGGAGGCAGCAGUGGGGAAUAUUGGGCAAUGGGCGAAAGCCUGAUCCAGCCAUGCCGCGUGUGUGAAGAAGGUCUUCGGAUUGUAAAGCCCUUUUAGUGGGGAGGAACGGCAGUAAGUUAAUACCUUGCUGUUUUGACGGUACCCACAGAAUAAGCACCGGCUAACUUCGUG
RNAcentral lists this ribosomal RNA (484 nucleotides) under uncultured bacterium. Its description in RNAcentral is "partial 16S ribosomal RNA". It matches the Rfam family "Bacterial small subunit ribosomal RNA", at positions 30 to 507 of the family's 1533-position model. The record is from RNAcentral.